UGCGUUCUUUGCGUUCUUGGAAUUGAGAAACAGCCAUUAUUUUCGAGGAACGGGAACGUUAGCUAGCUGAAGUUUCCGCUAACUUUCUAGCGGUAAAAUGGUCACAUCGUGUUGACAAUGACAUUAGCUAGCUUCACCAGCAACCCUAAUAGACAUUAAUACUGGUAACUAUGUCGAAAAGAAAGCACAACGUUACUGCUAACACGAAAGAAAAGGUUUGGUUGAGAGAAAAUGUUCCUAUACGUACUUUGACAAGAUGGAAAAAAAGGUUUGUACUAAAUUACACCUGUUUCCUAAUCCAGCUCGUAACUUCUGGUUAAAGGAGAACUCCGGUCAAUUUUAACAUUGAGCUAAUUUUUUUUGUACAUUUGGAGUGCUGUCAGUACAGAGAACAACGACAAAAAUCGGUGUUUCCUACACCGUGUUAUCUUCUUUUUAAAAUUUGCACCCUGUUGACUUCAAUGGGCACGUUUAAACCUGUAUUAAUAAAAUUGAUGAUAAUUCUGCCCGCGAAAAUACCUGAAAAACUUACUGUUUUCAGUCGAAGUCCACAGUAGUCAAUUGUUGAGUUCACCCGCGCGAUCACUGGUAACUAAGCAAUUCAAGAGAACGCGCCUGAACUCGACAAUCGACUACUGUGGACUUCGACCGAAAACAGGAAGUUUUUCAGGUAUUUUCGCUGGCAGAAUUAUCAUCAAUUUUAUUAAUAUCUUUCACAUCUACUGCAGUCAGAUUCACUGUGUUCACUCUAAAUAAACUCACUCACAUGGCUGUGCACUUGUAAUGACACAUUGAGGAUGUUAAAGCAGGCUAAACGCAGGCGUGCCCCAUUGAAGUCAACAGGGUGCAAAUUUUAAAAAGAGGAUAACAUGGUAUAGGAAACACCGAUUUUUGUCGUUGUUCUCUGUACUGACAGCACUCCAAAUUAAAAAAAAAACGAGCUUAAUGUUAAAAUUGACCGGAGUUCUCCAUUAAGGUUGCAGUGAUUCGUUCCCAGUUAACGUUAGUUACCGUAACGUUACUGUCCACUGUUUCUUUAGGAAAAUCAACAGAACUUUGACUGACAUCGAAAAACAUACUGCGCAACAACAUGAAAGUGAUGAAGAUGUCCAAAGAGAAGAGCAGAGUGGAGAACCUUUCACAUUGGAGCAGGUGAGACAAAACUACAGUAUUCUGUCUCUCUAUUUAUAUGUAUCUCUCUCUAUCACUCUGUCAAUCUAUCUAUCUAACAAGUUGUUGAUUUGUAUCCUUCCUAGGAAAGUGAUGAAGAUUCCCAAAGAGAAGAGCAGAGAGCAGAACCUUUAACAUUGGAGCAGGUGAGACAAAACUACAGUAAACACAUUUAUGAAGUUAAUUACAUAAUUUGAUAAUGACAUUAAAUAAUCACGAGACAAACAAUGCUAUCACAAAAUGCACAGAUUAUCUCUGCAGCUCAUGGAAGUAAUAAUAAUAAUAGUAAUAAUAUCCAGGGCCACAACACUACUGGUGUAUUG
This is a long non-coding RNA of Cyprinus carpio carpio, 1493 nucleotides long. The record is from Ensembl. NCBI's taxonomy places the organism in Eukaryota, Metazoa, Chordata, Actinopteri, Cypriniformes, Cyprinidae.